GUCCACGCCCUAAACGAUGUCAACUAGCUGUUGGGGCCUUCGGGCCUUAGUAGCGCAGCUAACGCGUGAAGUUGACCGCCUGGGGAGUACGGUCGCAAGAUUAAAACUCAAAGGAAUUGACGGGGACCCGCACAAGCGGUGGAUGAUGUGGAUUAAUUCGAUGCAACGCGAAAAACCUUACCUACCCUUGACAUGUCUGGAAUCCCGAAGAGAUUUGGGAGUGCUCGCAAGAGAACUGGAACACAGGUGCUGCAUGGCUGUCGU
Molecule: ribosomal RNA, 264 nt
Filed under: uncultured bacterium
Lineage: Bacteria
Description: partial 16S ribosomal RNA
Rfam family: Bacterial small subunit ribosomal RNA
Source: RNAcentral